RNAcentral lists this long non-coding RNA (791 nucleotides) under Anser brachyrhynchus (Pink-footed goose). Its description in RNAcentral is "lncRNA (ENSABRG00000009327.1)". The record is from RNAcentral. Lineage: Eukaryota; Metazoa; Chordata; Aves; Anseriformes; Anatidae.
GGAACAACAGUACGUACCUUGGGUUCCUGGCCAAGUUUCCAUUUGCAUGGUUUCAUUUGCUCCAUUCUGUCAAGUUAUAUGUCCUAAGGAUAUAAUUUAGCGGACUGCUGGUCCCUGAUACAGGACGCAGCCAAAUGCUUUGCUGCAUGUAGCCUUCUGACUAGGGAGUGGCAGCUUGAGAAACCCCGAUGCCUGUAAGCAGCAAAAUCAUAGGGGAAGAGAUUUAGAGUUGUGGAGGAGUUUUCCUAAAGUGUUGUCUUUUAUAACUGCUCCGGAGAGUACUAACUUGUUACCUUAUAAUGUAUAUAAGAUUGCAGUUUAUAUGUACAUAAAUCAAUAAGCCAGGGGAAUCAAGGAAAAAUAGAGAAGCGUGUUGCUGAUGGGAUCCUGGGAUGGAGCAGCUGUUCCUUGUUGAGAACAAGUCAAAGCUCUCAUCCUUGAGCAGGUUCUUUGGCUGUGGGUUAACCCUGUCAGGAAUAUCAAAGCAUGUGACAUGCUUGGCCACAGAAGUUGGUACGUGUGGGGUCUCUCACAAGUUCCUGUCAACACUUCAGCAUUGCAGCUCUCCAGAAUGGAUAACGUUGCUGCCAUUCAUUCUGAGUGGCAUCGUGGCCUCAUUUACAUGGGUUUUACGCUAUCUCAGUUAUCUCAACCUUUUGCUACAGUCAGUUCUUCAUUAUCUGAAGGUAAAUUUAGGUACAAGUCAUGACAGGCAAGGUCCUUGGCUUGGAGUAUGCCUGCCUUCCUGUAGCACUCAGUCACACUCUGGUACGGGUGGAUUUUCCUCUUAG